Molecule: ribosomal RNA, 517 nt
Filed under: uncultured bacterium
Lineage: Bacteria
Description: bacterial SSU rRNA
Rfam family: Bacterial small subunit ribosomal RNA
Source: RNAcentral
GAUGAACGCUAGCGAUAGGCCUAACACAUGCAAGUCGAGGGGCAUCACAUGAAGUAGCAAUACGGAUGGUGGCGACCGGCGCACGGGUGAGUAACACGUAUGCAACCUGCCUUCAACAAGGGGAUAACCCGUUGAAAGACGGACUAAUACCCUAUAACACAGGGGUCCCGCAUGGGAAUAUUUGUUAAAGGACAACCGGUUGAAGAUGGGCAUGCGUUCCAUUAGCUAGUUGGCGGGGUAACGGCCCACCAAGGCAACGAUGGAUAGGGGAACUGAGAGGUUUAUCCCCCACACUGGUACUGAGACACGGCCCAGACUCCUACGGGAGGCAGCAGUAGGGAAUUUUCGGCAAUGGGGGAAACCCUGACCGAGCAAUGCCGCGUGAACGAUGAAGGUCUUCGGAUUGUAAAGUUCUGUGAUUGGGGAAGAAUGGUAUUCUUAGGGAAUGAGGAGUACAUGACGGUACCCGAUUAGAAAGCCCCGGCUAACUAUGUGCCAGCAGCCGCGGUAAGUCACU